ACUGGUUCAAAAGAUGAUAGGCAGUCAAGAUUCAGCAAUCAAAACCCAAAACAAACUUUGUGGGAAAAAAAAGAGAAAGAAAGAUGAAGAGAAUUUUGAUAUGGAUCCGCCUUAACUGUCCUAAGGCUGGAUUUCUCUUCAGCCAGCAGGGUUUCUCUUCCACCACUCCCCCUGGAUUUCUCUUCAGAAGUGAUUCAAGCCAAAACUUUUACUCUUUUUCUUUUCUUUUUUUUUUAUCUUUUUUUUUUUUUUUUUAAAUAACUGGCGAUCACGGGAAGGGUCAGCGUGCUGAGUCCAAGGACCAACGUGCUGAUAUGUGUAUUGAUGGACAGCCAUGGACGUCCUGUGUGUGCUGAUGGACACACACAGACACACACGGACAGCCACGGAUGUCCUGUGUGUGCUGACGGACACCCACAGACUUCCUGUGUGUGCUGAUGGACACCCACAGACAUCUUGUGUGUACUGAACAGACAGCCCACGUUAGCCAAAAUCACCCAAACAGUCCACGAGAAGGGCCAGCGUGCUGAGUCCAU
RNAcentral lists this long non-coding RNA (536 nucleotides) under Brassica rapa (field mustard). RNAcentral's name for it is "long non-coding RNA (BRAP_LNC008862)". Lineage: Eukaryota; Viridiplantae; Streptophyta; Magnoliopsida; Brassicales; Brassicaceae. The record is from RNAcentral.